CCUACGGGUGGCUGCAGUGGGGAAUAUUGGACAAUGGGCGAAAGCCUGAUCCAGCCAUGCCGCGUGUGUGAAGAAGGCCUUCGGGUUGUAAAGCACUUUCAGUGGGGAAGAAAGCCUUGGGGCUAAUACCCUCGAGGAAGGACAUCACCCACAGAAGAAGCACCGGCUAACUCCGUGCCAACAGCCGCGGUAAUACGGAGGGUGCGAGCGUUAAUCGGAAUUACUGGGCGUAAAGCGCGCGUAGGCGGUCUGAUAAGCCGGUUGUGAAAGCCCCGGGCUCAACCUGGGAACGGCAUCCGGAACUGUCAGGCUAGAGUGCAGGAGAGGAAGGUAGAAUUCCCGGUGUAGCGGUGAAAUGCGUAGAGAUCGGGAGGAAUACCAGUGGCGAAGGCGGCCUUCUGGACUGACACUGACGCUGAGGUGCGAAAGCGUGGGUAGCAAACAGGAUUAGAUACCCGUGUAGUC
RNAcentral lists this ribosomal RNA (465 nucleotides) under Vreelandella stevensii. RNAcentral's name for it is "partial 16S ribosomal RNA". It matches the Rfam family "Bacterial small subunit ribosomal RNA", at positions 338 to 795 of the family's 1533-position model. Lineage: Bacteria; Pseudomonadati; Pseudomonadota; Gammaproteobacteria; Oceanospirillales; Halomonadaceae. The record is from RNAcentral.